This 307-nucleotide long non-coding RNA is filed under the name Capsella rubella. RNAcentral describes it as "long non-coding RNA (CRUB_LNC004439)". The record is from RNAcentral. Lineage: Eukaryota; Viridiplantae; Streptophyta; Magnoliopsida; Brassicales; Brassicaceae.
AAAAAUAUAAGCUCGAAGAGUGAGCUGUGGAGGACGAAACACAAAAUCUCAGAUUUUGAUACAUUGGAGAAAUAGAUGGCGAAUGCAAGAUAUACUUUUGAUUCAUUAGAUGCAAAUUCCUUGUAUGUUUGAAAGAAGCGACCCUUUUCAGUAAAAAAAAAAAAAACUAAAGAAGAACUUAAUUAAUGUACUGCAUAUGCAUGCUGCUUGUAGUACAAACUACAAAACUCAAUUCCAUUGGAAACGGUAAAGAUACUGGCGGUAAUUUACCAAACGUUUUUUUGGUAGUCUAGCUAGUGGUCUAUUG